GAAGAAGGCCUUCGGGUUGUAAAGCCCUUUUGUUGGGAAAGAAAUCCAGCUGGCUAAUACCCGGUUGGGAUGACGGUACCCAAAGAAUAAGCACCGGCUAACUUCGUGCCAGCAGCCGCGGUAAUACGAAGGGUGCAAGCGUUACUCGGAAUUACUGGGCGUAAAGCGUGCGUAGGUGGUCGUUUAAGUCCGUUGUGAAAGCCCUGGGCUCAACCUGGGAACUGCAGUGGAUACUGGNCGACUAGAGUGUGGUAGAGGGUAGCGGAAUUCCUGGUGUAGCAGUGAAAUGCGUAGAGAUCAGGAGGAACAUCCAUGGCGAAGGCAGCUACCUGGACCAACACUGACACUGAGGCACGAAAGCGUGGGGAGCAAACAGGAUUAGAUACCCUGGUAGUCCACGCCCUAAACGAUGCGAACUGGAUGUUGGGUGCAAUUUGGCACGCAGUAUCGAAGCUAACGCGUUAAGUUCGCCGCCUGGNGAGUAC
This 485-nucleotide ribosomal RNA is filed under the name uncultured Stenotrophomonas sp. RNAcentral's name for it is "bacterial SSU rRNA". It matches the Rfam family "Bacterial small subunit ribosomal RNA", at positions 407 to 883 of the family's 1533-position model. Lineage: Bacteria; Pseudomonadati; Pseudomonadota; Gammaproteobacteria; Lysobacterales; Lysobacteraceae. The record is from RNAcentral.